CACAGCUGCAAAGCUGUCACCUCUGCAUCAUCCUGCUCCCUUCUGGGAUGGAACACCAGGGCCCUGUAACCAGCCCCGAGGGGCGUGCACUUUACCACGGCUGUUACUGCAACCAACAGCUCCGUAGGCUCCGAGCCCUGGUCUAGGAGGGUCCCAACCCUCCCAGGAAGGCCCUGGGCAGGAUUUUUAAAGCAAAGUGAUCCACAGCUGACACACAAGCCAUGUCACAGGAGUGACAAGCCUGGUAAGUGAAUCUUCUUGGAAACUGGACCCCGAGUCCCAGGUGGAAACACGUCCCCCCAGCACACCUAGCAACCCAGUGUCCAUCCGCGGGGUACUUCUGGUCACGUUUUGCAAUCUCCAAGCCGCCCAUCCCCAUGUCAGCGACAUCCUCGGGCCAACAGUGAACGUGGUGAUGGCUGGAAUUCAGUGCUGGCACCCAGAGUGCUCCUUCACCAAGGCACUCAAGUUAAUUCUGCCCCUAGCUGCCAAGCCAGCCGACUGGUGUGCCCCCGCCUUUGGAGGGGAAUCUAGACGUUCAUAUCGACUCAUAUUGUUUUCCUCUCCUCAGUGUGAUCUUGGGAACCUGGCCAAGGGGGCUGAUGGCUGUCGUCUGAUGAUGCCGGGAAGUCUUCAAUAAGCUGACAUUUCCUGUGGCCGAGCUGCCAUGUCUGAAGGCCAAACCAAACAGUGCUUGGGCCCUUUGGACCCUGACUCUGUUUCUGUCUCUCUCUGAUCCAGUCCCAGGCCUGCCCGCCCUGUGCCUCAAUCCAGCCUGGGUAGCUGGGCCAUGCAGGGGUCAGGUGGAGGGUUGCUUCCAGCCAGACUGAACUACAAGCCACCCUGGAGAGCAGGGCAGGUGGGGGUGAGACUCGGGCUUUGCUAUGAGACACAAAAGGGAAACGCUGGCUAGAACGUGUUGCCCGUGGGCUAGAAGGAGUUUAGGAGGCAGCCUCAAACUUUUGUCUCUCUCAAAACUUGUGUUACUGCUAAUUGAAUCAUGUCACUAAAAAUAAAAAUGCUAAAGUUAAGAAAGUAAAAUCUGGGAGGAGGACAACAAGGAAGAGUGUCACCAGCUUAAUUGGCCCAAACAACCCUUCACGGUGUUUCUUCCUGCAUCACAACGAUUCCUUCACGGUGUUUCUUCCUGCAUCACAACGAUUACAUCCUCUGACCCCUAAAAUGAGCACCUUCUAGCAGAACCUGAGAGUUUAACCUUAUUGCUUAAAAGCACGGGUCAGGUCUCACUGCAGGGCUGCCCACCUCUCCAGCCUAUGAGUGGCUCCCCCUGGGGGGUUGGCAGGCGUGGCCUGGACAGACCCCAGGCAGUUUCCCAGCAGAACUCCAGGUCCGGGUCCUCCACCAUCUCAGGACAGCGCUCCCAUGUGUGGGGUGUGGGACAAACAGGAGGUAGGGAGCCAUUUCUUGGAAAGUGGGCAUCAGACCCACCGUAUUACAUCUCAGCUCUUGGGUCACCCCCAAAAGUCAAGCAACUAUUUAUUCUUUUCCCUCAACCCUUUCCACCCAGACACCCCUCUGCAGACCUGCUCAGACUUUCUGCACCCCUCUGCUCUUGCCUUUCUGUUCGUGAUUGUUCCAUGGGUCAGGAAGUGUAUUUACUUUUACUGCAGCCAGAGGUCAACACUCUGAGACUCUCGGGAUCCCUCGUUUUCUCUGGAGCUGGCCAUUCUUCCGGGAUAAUCUACUCUGGCCCCUCCUCUGGCCGUCAGGGAAUCUGGCUCUGCUCAGCGUGGCCGGGUCGUGGCCGUGGACUCAGCCCCUGGCGGCUGGUGUGGAGGGCCGCAGCGCUCUCCAGGGCGGUCCGGCGCAGUGGUUCUUGUUUUAAUGUAGGGAUCUGGAUGGAGCAACAGGCCAAAUGGCUCAACGGUCCCAGCUAGUGACAUCAAUAAUAAGUGAAAUAAGUUGAGCUUGAAACAGGCUGACCCACCGACAUGGGGUCAGGGAGUGGGCAGUGGGCAGAGAGCUACAGCAAGGGGUCCAUAUAUGGGCAGAUAUUCAGCGACGACGGCUCAAAAGUUCUAUCCAAAAGAGAGAAGCCUCUCUGGGGAGAGGCCAGAGCUGACAAGAGCGGAGCUGACCACGAGCCAUGUGGGAAAUGACUCAUGAAGAGGCCACAGACCUGGAAGGGGCUGGGGACAUUCACCAGGCAGCAAAGCAGAGCCGGCCAGGAGCCGAGGCCAAAGCCUCCCAGUACCUCAGUGUCCAGGACUGAUGGACACUGCAUGGGCCUGGGACCAGACCCUGGGCUGUGACCUGAAUAUGACCACCACCGGGAAGCAGGCACUUGGGCACAGGGAGUGACAGCCAAGCAGCGGG
Molecule: long non-coding RNA, 2337 nt
Filed under: Marmota monax (woodchuck)
Lineage: Eukaryota; Metazoa; Chordata; Mammalia; Rodentia; Sciuridae
Source: RNAcentral